Molecule: non-coding RNA, 3680 nt
Organism: Lactuca sativa (garden lettuce)
Lineage: Eukaryota; Viridiplantae; Streptophyta; Magnoliopsida; Asterales; Asteraceae
Source: RefSeq, a predicted model, not a curated record
AAUGCUUUUGGCAUGCAAGCCGAGGAAGCUUAUUAAAUAUUACAUAAAACCUCAUAUCUUUCAGACUAAUUGUUCCAAAGAGUACUUUCUCUAGAGAACACAUAGAUCUGGCUGAUAGUAAGCGUCUAACUAACCUAUUUCUUGUUGGACAUCUGAAAUGAUUCUUGUGGUCUUUUUUGCCUCCUUUCUUCUCUCUUGUCUACCUUUUCUUCACUCUGCUACAAACCACAGCAUUUCUACAUCAAUCUGCCCAAAAAGUUUCGUUUGCCCACAUUUAGCCCCAUCCAAAUACCCUUUUUAUAAUGCCACUGACACGCAAUGCGGGUUGAUCAAGGUCAAUUGUACUUCGUAUGGUGGGGAAAUUCAUCUUGGAAGAGACUCGUAUCAGAUUCAAGGCAAUUUUGUAUCUGAUUCUUCCAUCUGGGUUGUUAACAAAGUGUUUGGAAAACUUGUAGAGAAGGAAAGGUGUGAGGCACUUAUGUAUAAUUUCUCUUCUCCAAGUCCUCUUUUGUAUUCCACUUCAAUCAAACCUUUCAUCAGGCUUUACAAAUGUACAAACAAUUCCACUUAUGAUGCACAAACGGAGGCUUAUUUUCACCAAUUUAAUUACAAUAGCUAUAACAAAUGCAAAGAUCACAACUUCUACUAUAAGUAUUCAAUCAGCAACACAACAAUUCUAAGUGAUCUCCCACUUACAUGUCAAGCAAUACGGCUGCCUGUAGAGACAGGUGACCAUAAAGUACUUAAUGAAACAAACAUAUUUUCUCUUCUCAGUUCCAAAUUCUCUGUUUUAAUUAAGCUCUCACCUUCCUGUGAUAAGUGUCACAAGGAAGAAGGCCAGUGUCAUACUCAAAAUGGACAGUUUCUGUGUUCCAACGCCAAAAUGGGUGAUGCGCACUGGCAUAACCAUGAUGGACUCAAGUCUACCAACACAAAAAAGGAAAAAGAAAAGCCACACAGAAAACUGAAACUCAUCCUAGUUCUCGCUGGAUCUGCCUUCAUCCUCAUCCUCUCUCUUCUUAUGUUCAUAAUCUGGCGACGCUACAAGACCAACCCUCCUUCCUAUUACUCAUCAAAGGACGACAUAUCACUAAACAAUGAAGAUGGGAGUCUUUUCUAUGGUGUCUCUGUUUUCUCCUACACAGAGCUUGAAGAUGCCACCCAAAAUUUCGACCCUUCUAAGGAACUGGGGAAUGGAGGUUUUGGAGCUGUUUACUAUGGAAAACUCCAAGAUGGGAGAGAAGUUGCAGUGAAGAGACUCUACGAGCACAAUUACAAGCGAGUCAAACAAUUUAUUAAUGAGGUCAAAAUCCUCGCCAGAUUGAGGCACCCCAACCUCGUAGUCCUCUAUGGUUGCACUUCUCGACAAAGCCAUGAGCUUCUCCUUGUGUAUGAGUACAUCUCCAAUGGCACUGUUGCAGAUCACCUCCAUGGAGAACUAGCAAAUCCAAGCUUUCUGACAUGGCCAUUAAGAAUGAACAUUGCUAUCGAAACUGCCAGAGCGUUGGUGUACCUUCAUGCCUCUGAAAUCAUACACCGAGAUGUCAAGACCAGUAACAUUCUCCUUGAUCACAAUUUCAGUGCCAAGGUAGCAGAUUUUGGGCUCUCGAGGCUGAUACCGAAUGAUGUCACUCACGUGUCUACAGCUCCUCAGGGAACCCCAGGAUACGUGGAUCCCCAAUAUCACCAUUGUUACCAAUUAACGGAUAAGAGUGAUGUUUACAGCUUUGGAGUGGUCUUGAUUGAACUAAUAUCAUCAAUGGUGGCUGUCGAUUUAAGCAGGUCACAAGAUGAGAUUAGUUUGGCUAAUCUAGCUUUGAACAGGAUACAAAGAUGUGCGUUAGAUCAAUUAAUAGACCCGGAUCUAGGAUCCGAUUCAGAUGCUGAAAUCAUGAGGAUGAUAACAUCAGUGGCAGAGUUGGCUUUUCAAUGUUUACAGUAUUAUUCAGAAAUGAGGCCUACGAUGAGUGAGGUGUUGGAUGUGUUGGAGGAUAUCCAAGCCCCAGGGAGAAUUGAUUCUGUAAAAGCGCCACCACCGUCUGAAGCCAGUGAUAAGACGGUUUUGUUGAAAGACUUCCUGCCUUCGCCGGUUUCCGUCACCGGUGAAUGGCACAGCGAAAGCACCGUAUCAACUACACUAAGCGUUACAUAGAUUCCCAAUGAAGAGUCGUAUCAGAACAAAGCAUCAUCGUGCAAAUUCAGGUACUCUCAAGUUAAGAGUUUCUUUUUUAGAAAACUGUGUAUUGAGUAGACAUGGUGGUGGUUCUGAUCAGUAACUUCAAAUCAAACGGAAUUAGUUUACUUAACUUACAGGGCAUGCUAAAGCUGCUGUAGGUGUUUGAUUUUGGCACAACAGGCUCCACGAAUGUCCUAAAGAUGAAAUCUUGAAAGUCAGCCACAAAGGAAGUCUGAAGUAUUUUCAACCCCAAGAGGAACAACAUGCGUAUAUAUGAUUGUUCAAAUACAAUACUUGAUCUGAGAUUAGAUAUCCCCAACAUGUUUGUAAGGUAAGGUCUUACACUGUCCCAAAUUGGUCUAUGUAAGCUUUUUACAUGGAUAUGUGUGUGUGUGUGUCUAUAUAUAUAUAUAUAUAUAUAUAUAUAUAUAUAUAUAUAUAUAUAUAUAUAUAUAUGACUUCUAGACUCAAACAAACUUAUUUUAACAUUCAUAUUUUGAUUUUUAUAGUGUUGCAUAAUGGGGCAUGAGAUACAUAGCAUACAUAGUUUGAUAAUGUUGUAUCAUAGGGUAGAAAAUGGACUUGAUGUUUCACCUAACAUGCUGAAAUGGUUUUAGAUCUGGAUCUAAUUUUCUAUUAUAUGUUUGUUUUUUUUUCUAUCCACUUUAAUAUUUGUGAUGUAGAUGAAGACAGUAUCGCAUCUGUCUUCUGGUUUCAUGGUUUCGUGGUCUGGUCAUUAAAGCCUAAUGGGGUAAUCUGGACUAUUUUACCCUCAGAAUGGGUAUGGAUAACUUCAAUCGCUGUUUUACAUCUUAUUGCAUUUACUGAGUGUUAAAAGAUGCUAUAGAGAAAUCUAUGAUGUUAUGGUUGGUUUUGGGUUACUACUCUACAUGCAAGCUAAGGGGUCAACUUUUCUAACUUCCUUUUUUACUUGAUUGAUUUUUUAUUUUUUGUUUUGUAGUAUCCAUAUUAAGCAAAUGUCACAUAAGUGGUGAUGAAGAUGGUGUUAUGAUAUCAAUUUCUGACAGGUUAUCCAAAAGAAGUGAACAUUGAUCUGAUGGAUUAGUACUUAUGGAUUACUGCAUAAUGAAGAGGUAUUGGAAUAAGCAUUUUCAGAAUUCUUUGUAUUUUGGACCAUUUUACCCCAGCUAUGAUUUGUCCCAUUUUUUAUGGUUAUUGGAUGGUCUAUUACUAGAAAACUGGUUUUUUUAAGGGCCUUCGAACUCACUAUGGGUGGUGUUUAUUUCUUUUAUCUUUGUAUACGUGGCAACAUCAUAAAGUUGUGGUCCCCAAAAUAACAACAUACCUAAGUUUAUUUACACAUUACUGGUGCACAAUCGUGUAGGUCAUUAAGACCAAUGACAUUGUAGAAUGAUAUUGAUUUUGAUGGGAUUUGGAAGGAGUAAGAACCAUUUUUGUAGAUUUUGUAUUCUUACUGUUUAUCUGUAUUUAGCUUAUCAUAGAUGAUAUGGAUUUGGAAGGAAUAAGAACCAUUUACAUGAUU